Molecule: long non-coding RNA, 767 nt
Organism: Orbicella faveolata
Lineage: Eukaryota; Metazoa; Cnidaria; Anthozoa; Scleractinia; Merulinidae
Source: RefSeq, a predicted model, not a curated record
GGUUCUUUUACUAGGGAAUCACCUUAAAGCGCUAAUGAGCUCAUACAUUCUUUGUAAAAUUUUGACUUUUGGAAACAAAAGGAAGGUGUUAAUGCGACCUACCAGGCUUUGCAUGAGGUGUUAUUGCAUCCAUUGAUAUACCGCCAAGACAUUGCAGAGAAGUUCUUUUUUUACUGAUAAUAUAAUGGUAAUUAUAAUUAUUUUCUUUCAUAUUAAAUGUGUGUGCAGUGAUUUCAUGGUUUUAAAUUCGCUGGAGUCUGGAUCAAGCAUUCUGAGUAUGAGCCCUGCAAGGAGUCAUUGUGUCAUGUUCUUAGGCAACACAUUUUACUCCGGCUCACAGUACCUCUUUCCACCCAUGAACACUAGGAACUGUUGCAGAGGUAAUCAAGACGAUAGGUGGAGAUCUACUGGCUAGCACAAAACUUUGUUGUAUUUGUAUUUGGAUAAAGGAGAAAUAGAUCGUCAAUACAAAGUUUUAAUUUUUUUAGUUAUACAUUUACUUGUGAAGGUGUGAACCAAUAGCAUAAUCGGAUGGCUUUGUUUCUUUCGUGUUACAAAAAUAUGGUAAUUGAGCAAUUUCAUAUGGCUUGAGCGAGUUUACUUUUUUAAAUGAAAGGUUAUGAAAAUUGCCUGUUUUAGCUCCGCUGGAAGAUAAAGGUUGUGGGAUCAUUAUUAACUUCAAAUCGUGUAGGAAAAUUGUGCCAUCAUUGUAAUUAAAUUUUGAGUUCUACCUGUUAUCCAGUGAAUAAAUGUUAUCAUUUAACGCU